AGCACGCUUGCCUGAACACCUCUCUGUGUGGGUGUUCAUUUAGACCACGCUGCAGGUUUGAUGAAGCUCCUGGCAUCAAAUCAAAUAGUGUUAGCCUGUACAGUGGAGAAUCCCUGUUCUCCAUCAGACUCCUGUCUAGAAGCAAACGGAAGGUCUUCCAUGGGGAGCUCUGUGGAUGUGACCUGGCCACUGUUUCCAAAAGGACGAGGAGAGGAACACUUGGAGGUGCACAAUAAAACAUGGGUAAGGAUAAAGUGCGUUCCAGGCUGAAGGAAGCCCCAAAGCACUGCCUCGGGCAUCACAUAAUCAGCAAAC
This is a long non-coding RNA of Herpailurus yagouaroundi (jaguarundi), 315 nucleotides long. RefSeq lists it as uncharacterized. NCBI's taxonomy places the organism in Eukaryota, Metazoa, Chordata, Mammalia, Carnivora, Felidae. The transcript has 3 exons. The record is from RefSeq and is a predicted model, not a curated record.